RNAcentral lists this ribosomal RNA (253 nucleotides) under uncultured bacterium. Its description in RNAcentral is "partial 16S ribosomal RNA". It matches the Rfam family "Bacterial small subunit ribosomal RNA", at positions 524 to 776 of the family's 1533-position model. The record is from RNAcentral.
UACGGAGGAUGCAAGCGUUAUCCGGAAUGAUUGGGCGUAAAGGGUCCUGAGGUGGCUGGCUUAGUCUACUGUGAAAGAUCAGGGCUUAACCCUGAACAGGCGGUGGAAACUAGCAAGCUAGAGUACGGUAGGGGCGGAGGGAAUUCUCGGUGGAGCGGUGAAAUGCGUAGAUAUCAUUUGGAACGCCAAUGGUGAAAACAGGUAGCUGGGGCUGUGCUGACGCUGAGACACGAAAGCCAGGGGAGCGAACGGG